Molecule: ribosomal RNA, 253 nt
Filed under: uncultured bacterium
Lineage: Bacteria
Description: partial 16S ribosomal RNA
Rfam family: Bacterial small subunit ribosomal RNA
Source: RNAcentral
UACGUAGGGGGCAAGCGUUGUCCGGAUUCAUUGGGCGUAAAGAGCGUGUAGGCGGCCAGGUAGGUCGGUUGUGAAAACUGGAGGCUCAACCCCGAGCCUGCUUCCGAUACGGGCGGACUAGAGGUAGGUAGGGGAGAACGGAAUUCCUGGUGUAGCGGUGGAAUGCGCAGAUAUCAGGAGGAACACCGGUGGCGAAGGCGGUUCUCUGGGCCUUACCUGACGCUGAGGAGCGAAAGCGUGGGGAGCGAACAGG